RNAcentral lists this ribosomal RNA (530 nucleotides) under uncultured bacterium. RNAcentral's name for it is "bacterial SSU rRNA". It matches the Rfam family "Bacterial small subunit ribosomal RNA", at positions 28 to 548 of the family's 1533-position model. The record is from RNAcentral.
GAUGAACGCUAGCGGCAGGCCUAAUACAUGCAAGUCGAACGGUAAGUAUGGUAGCAAUACUGUACCAAGAGUGACGCACGGGUGCGUAACACGUGUGCAACCUACCCCUUUACAGGAGUAUAGCUCGGGGAAACCCGGAUUAAUCCUUCAUAACAUCAUUAGGUGGCAUCACAGGAUGAUUAAAGAUUUAUCGGUAAAGGAUGGGCAUGCGUCUGAUUAGCUAGUUGGUAGUGUAACGGACUACCAAGGCGACGAUCAGUAGGGGUAACUGAGAGGUUGACCCCCCACACUGGCACUGAGAUACGGGCCAGACUCCUACGGGAGGCAGCAGUAGGGAAUAUUGGUCAAUGGGUGAGAGCCUGAACCAGCCAUGCCGCGUGCAGGAAGAAGGCCCUUCUGGGUUGUAAACUGCUUUUUGCCAGGGGCUAAAACGUCCAUGCGUGGAAAAUUGGAAAUGUACCUGGUGAAUAAGCCACGGCUAACUACGUGCCAGCAGCCGCGGUAAUACGUAGGUGGCAAGCGUUGUCCGG